Molecule: long non-coding RNA, 650 nt
Organism: Cynara cardunculus var. scolymus (artichoke)
Lineage: Eukaryota; Viridiplantae; Streptophyta; Magnoliopsida; Asterales; Asteraceae
Exons: 2
Source: RefSeq, a predicted model, not a curated record
GGAUAAAAUAGGUAUCUAGAUUAUUGAGUCGAAUUAGGCCAAUACGAAUGGGCCUUGAGCUAGGGUUCAACAAAUCCUCCAAGAUCCAUUUAGAGUUUCCACCUUUGAUAUCCAGUGAUCGCAUACCCAUUUCGGUUUCUGAAACUUGAAGAAUCGCAGAAGACGAGAGAGGAUUUUUGGUAUAUAGUAGAGGAUGUUCAAUCGAAGGAGGUUCCUCUCGCUUCCCAUGGUUAUCGGAGCUGUCGUGAUUGGCAUCGUCUCUGGAAAAGCCAUCUUUGGACCUCCGGUGGAUGAGUACUGGAAGAAAAAGCUCGACCAAGAGGCUGCAGCAGCAGCAGCAGCAGCAGCUGCCAAAGACACCGAUUCACCCUCCUCAUCUUAAACUCAUUUUAAACCCAAUACACCGAGUUACAAGCUGCUUCAACUCGCACAAAUCAAAUUGAAGCUCGUCAAAUGUCUGAUGUGGUGCAUGUGAGCUCAUAUCCACACAAACUUUUGGAACCAUAAAUAGCCUCUACAAAGAACUUGUUGUCUCUACUGACUGCUAAAUUGUAUUCAUUAUUCUUUUCGAGCAUUCUCCGGGUUCAUGAAGCAUCAAAGUUGUAACUUGACCUUUAUUGAUAAAUUUCAGUUUGGUUCGAUGCCUGAAA